This 8798-nucleotide long non-coding RNA is filed under the name Canis lupus familiaris (dog). RNAcentral's name for it is "lncRNA (ENSCAFG00000054278.1)". Lineage: Eukaryota; Metazoa; Chordata; Mammalia; Carnivora; Canidae. The record is from RNAcentral.
UUUUUUUUUUUUGGCGUGCCACCCCCUCACAUACAGGCUCCUUCAGUCAGCAUCUUAAAUUUAGGAAGCUGACAUCAAUCCAGAGGUACUACGAGUUAGAAUGUUCUUUCAUGUGUAUCAGCAAACUAAUACACCCCUUUAUUUUUUAGUGAAUAAAAGGAAAUUGCUUACUUCCUGUUAUGGUUUACCUUGAAAUGGGCUUCAAUAGCUAUUCCGGUAACCUACCACCAGUUUGAACAAUGAAGAGACAAACACACCGCCUGGCAGUCCCAGGUUCCACAUUUUAUGUAUGUUUUAGUGUACGUUACCCCGCAGCACUACCUCGUGCCUCUGCGACCGCUUUCGGCGGGGAAUCUGGCCGAGUGCUGUGAUGCCUUGUAUACGGUCCCAUAAGAAAAAAAAAGAAAAAAAAAAUUUUAAAUGCUCCUCGUUUUUUGUUAAGGGAAACUCCUAAAAGAGGAAAACAGAUGAGAAGAAGAGUGGAAAAAUACUGGACACUUAAGUGGAAUGUGAACACAGGAACGUGUUGUAGAAGAAACUUCUUAAUAAGCAGAGAACGGCCCAAUGCAUGGGCCUCCUGCAUGUGUCCGAGAAGCAGCACAGAUUAAAACAAAAACAAAAACAAAAACAAAAACAAAACAAGACAAAAAAACAAAAGAGAGAAAGUAGUAGCCCAGAGAAACAGUGAAGUUUUAACAGCUGAGGCGCCUUGCCCCCUGCUAACAGCUGAGGCAGGAAUCCGGGACGAUCGUACACCUCGAAUGGGACACUCUGGCUGUCCUGACUGGGUGUCCCGAGACGCGGGGUUCCACUUGGUCCUCUCGUGUCCCAGGGCUGUCACCGACCCUGGGGCCUGGGGCAGAGUGCUCUUCCUCGACAGUCUCUGUGGUCCUUCUGGGCUUCAGAGAAGGGUAUCUCCACGCUUCCUGCACCUGCCCACUAGGGACUCGGAGCCUCUUGCCCCCGUGCUCCAACCUGGUGAGCGGUGGCAUACGUCGGGGUACCUCCAUGGCAGGACCUGGGCCGCCCCUGGAUUCCUGCCUUGCACUAGCACCCCGGUAUCCUGAAGAGGAGCGACUCUCAAAGAGGAGGUCAUUGCCCUGGCCUCUUCUCCCCGCUCCUCAUUUCUGCAGGCUGCUAGACGUUCCCACAGCUCUCAGGCAGGGGGAGGCGCGGGUUGUGACCAAGGUCUUGGGGUUAUGGUUUAAAGUCCAGUGUUGGCCAACUCGGCUGCUCCUUCACCAACCAUGCCGCCGGCGUCCCUAGGAAUCGAACCCUUUUCCUCCUCCUUCAAUGCACUGAUGACGGGCGCAGACAGGCAGCAAAGGCAGUGGGCACAGCGGGGACGGCCAGCGGAGGGACGGCCCAGACCACCUGGACAGGGUAGGAGCCGUGUGUCUGUGCACAAGCUCACGCUCAAAAUCUGCUCCUCUUUCAUGUUGGGUGGUAAGGUGGGGACAGUUAUACACUGUCACAAUGUAGAAGAGCACAGCCUGUUCCACAGUUAAGUGGUUGAAAUAAUGAAGGAAAGGUGUCCAGGGUGGGGGGUCGGUAAAGCCUGGCAACCCCAGCCUCCCCAUGCCCUGGCACCGCAAGUCCCCAUCCUCCUGCUCAUGUGCUCCCCGAGGACUGGUCACUGUGUUCUUGGCCAAGACAUUUUCAGCAGGACACCCUAUCUUUCUCUGUGUCCUGACCCUGCCUUUACAACCGGGGAGUGUGUGUUUUUAAAAAUAAAAGUCGGAGCGGAGCUUCCCACAGCUACAACCACCGCAGACACCUUCCCUCAGCCCAAACCUCCUUCCCUCCCUCCUUAGCUCGGAGCCCCAGCACACCCAUCAGCAUAUUUAAUAGGAGUUCAACUUCCUGGAAUUUUAAGGGUUGCCAGUCCAACCAUGACAACCGCGACCAAACAUACACCUUGCUGUCCCUCGGCAAUCAGCUGGAAUACUGACCACCCGGCCCUCUCGUGGUAAUAUUUAAACACGCUCGCGUGGCCUUCACAGCAAUCUGAACAACGCUGAGUUGAGGACACAUUUUGUCACAUCCUCCUUCGAGAGAUGAGGGUGGGAAGUCAGCAAGGGACCAUGCCGCUGGCCCAAAGUCACGUCUGUAAGCGGGAACUUCUGAUCUCUCAUCCCAGCCCAGGGCAAGGCCAUCCACCAGGGUGGAGGGUUUCCACUGUGGCUGGAGUGCCACCGUGCAUAGGGACGCAGAGAGAAUGGCCUAGAAGCCAAGAUGGAAGCAAUGGGAGGGAUACUGUGCCAGACAGGGUUUGGCUGUGAUGACAGACCAAUCGGUGAAGUUCAGAGAAGCCCUGGAGAGAAUGUGAGGUGGACACAGCUCAUGAGCAAAGGUUGGUAAUGUCCAACCAAACAUCCAGAGGCCCCGUUUACUUAUCUAUUGCCAACUGUCCCGAAUUUCCACCAGGCACAAGGAGUGUAGGAUGUACAAAGAGGCCCCAAGGGCUUCCCCCAAGGCUCUGCAAGUCAGAUAGGAAAAGGGGACUUAUCCAUAAAUAGCAUGGGGGGUGGGGUGGGAAACAACUGGAAACUCUUUGGGGCACCUGCUGGCUCAGUGGUUGAGCAUCUGCCUUCGGCUCAGGGUGUGAUUCCAGGGUCCUGGGAUUGAGUCCCGCAUCGGGAUCCUUGCAGGGGGAGCCUGCCUCUCCCUCUGCUGUGUCUCUGCCUCUCUCUGUGUGUCUCCCAUGAAUAAGCAGAUAAAUGUUUAAAACAAAAACGAAAGCAAAUGGAAACUCCUGCAGGACAAGAAGGCAUACACAGCUAAGGGUGGACAGGAGAGACUGCUUGCAGCCUGGGUGGAGGAAGGAAGAGAGGAUGAGGGAAGGCUUCCUGGAGAAGGUGCCAUUUCAGCUAGGCCUUGGGAAAAAAAAUACAUAGAAAUAAAUCAAUAAAUAAACAAACAGACAGAUAAAUAACUGGAUGUCUCCCAGACACGUUUGCUUUCGAGUCACGGAGAGUUUCGGGGAGAUACAACCACCCCGACCAGACAGCACCUCUUAAAUAAGUCUUCACCAAGCAUGGCCAGAUCCUGGCCUUGCAGCGCAUCUUUAUCAUGCUGCUGGACUUACAGAAAGACUGGGGUACGGGUCAAAGGUGAAACAUUAGAAAUAAAAAUUAGGCCCCGCUCACAGCCCUGAGAAUAGCUCAGUCUUUUUCAAGUCUUUCUGGCUGUUUCGGGAGAACUGCAAGGCUCAGGAGAUAGUUAAGAUAAGAGUUCUUUUUAUGUCUGUUUGCUGAUUCAGAACAUCUCCUGACCUGAAGGGCUUCUCGCUUUUCUAUGUAGCUUUCUCUAUAAAGGAAUUGAUAAUUCCCCUACAAGAAGUAGCAACAUCUCUCCAAGUAGAACAGAAGCGCUGCUAUUCUUAACGGGGGAGCGGGCAGUGGGUAAGAACGGCAGUGGAGAUAAAGGACAUAAAUCUACCAGAAGUUUCUUUUUUAGAGACCAAGGUUGCCUGGAUAGACGGUGAGACAUGACCAAAGUCCUCCUGCCUCUCCAUCUGAGACAUACAACUUUAAACACUCCGCACCGUGAAAAACCACGCUGGGCCUAGUGUGAAACAUUACAUGAUCCUGGACCCAAGACUCGAGAAAAACCUGGAAAGCAUUUUCCUCCUAGUGCUCUUUCAAAGCUUGACAGACAUGGAAAUUCCUGUGACUUUUUCCCCAUCAUAAAUAAGGUGCAUUGUGUCAUGACAAAAAUGACCUGUCACUGAUUCAGUGGCCUUACUGAUGGAAUACAUUCUUCUUUCCUUCGUGUGCUAAACUGUUCACUUUUAGCUUCCCCACUCGAAGUCAACUAGAUCUUAAAAAGCGGCUGGAUUGGGCACCUGCAUGGCUCAGUGGUUGAGUGUCUGAGUUUGGCUCAGGUUGUGAUCCUGGGGUCCUGGGAUCAAGUCCCGCAGCAUGCUCCCUACAGGGAGCCUGCUUCUCCCUCUGCCUCUCUCUGUAUGUCUCCCAUGAAUAAGUAAAUAAAAUCUUAAAACAAAAACAGGGGCUGGAUUAAAACACGGUGCUCUAUUUGUCAGGCUUCUGUGGGCCCUUCGGUUGUACAGUCAAGGAAGCAAAUUACAACGUUCGUGGCUGCCCUUCCUUUAAAUAACCUGCCCUGGGACUGUCCUUGCCCAGAGUUAAAACCUGGCCAAGGCUCAGGGCGUGGGGGGGUGGGCAGCUCUGUGUGGGAUGAGAGGGAACACAAACACUGCAGCAGCUAAUUCUUGCCCCCACCAUCCCCAGGCGAUGCUCGACAGAAACUUGGCACUUAACAUCAUCACCCUGCAGGGGCGGUGGAUUGCUUUCUCACAAAAAGCCUGCCUAUCAUACAAUCCCAGGACCUCCUCCAGGAGGACACCCGAGGUUUGCACCAAGGAAAAAGUCCCUGGAGGAGGGUGGUUACGAGAAAACCCCAAGUAUCAGAAGAAGGCCCUCAACAAAAGAGUACUACGACGGAGCAUCCUUCUAACGCAGGACCCACGUCCAUUGGUAGUUAUAAAGGUUAUCAUGGAUUACUACCUUUUCCAACAUUUAGUUGAACCUAAAUUGCUAGGUAAUUGGUCAAAACCAAACCACAGCAACGAAACCAACAAAAGCUAGUUUCAGGGCAUGCCACCCUGACCUGUAACGUCUUGCGUACGUUUACACACACAACCAUCUCUCCUAGGUUCUAUUAGGCCCCUUUGCAGAACAACCUCAUUUGGGAUGCUGAUAAGAACGAUGAUAGCCACUUUCUUCUCUAUCUGCUAAGAUAAUGGUAUUUAUAUACUAAACAUAUAAGAGUCUGAAAUAUAUAUUUUUAAAACUCUUCUGGCUGAGAUGCAAUGACCCAGCAGCAGAAUGCAACCCUUACUUGCCAAAUGAGCCCCAGGUAUAUGACAGCCGGGUUUUGACAUGCCCCCACUUGCCCUGACUUUCACAGUAGCAACAAAAGUUCAAGAAGGAACCCUUCACCUUCACUGCAAUUAAAACGGAUCAUGGCCAUUUACAGAUGAGCGUGCCAUUUAAAAAAAACCACCACCAUAGUUCAUUGGAGUUCUUCAAGUUUCGAGAUCUUCAUCUACAAAACAGGCAAAAUAGUCUCAGGCUACAACUGCAAUUCUGAUACGAAUCAAGUAAAAUAUUACCUCUGAAGACACCUUAUGAGUUAUGGUGUAAAAAUGUACAUUAUCUCCAGGAUCCUUUCAACGGCUUCAAUACCUACCCUGGACUUGAGACCACGGAUUAAUCUAGAAUGUUUUUGCUCAUGGAUUCCCUUGAUCAAAACUUCUGACACAAGCCUCCAAUACACACUAGAUAAAAUAUUCAUGCAUUAGCCUGGACAUCAAGUCUUUCUAUCAUCUCCAAUGUCAUCUUCCACCAAUUCUCCCCAACUGGAACCUCCCUGAAUAGUCAGGUCAAGUGCCUUCUCGUGGAUUUUUCCGAUCAGUCUCUGUGAUCUCUGGAAUUUCUUCUGAUGAUCUGCACCCCAACACUCACACCCCUGCCCUCCUCUGGCUGCAAGGCCACCCCAUGGGCCCGUGACAGCUCACCCUGACCUCUUCCUGCAUUACAAGGCCUGUGCAGUUUACCACAGAUGCUUAGGUACGUUCUUUAAAACACAAAUUCUCAAUUGUAGAUUGUUUAUUUAUCUUAUUUUUUUUAGAUUUUAUUUAUUUAUUUGAGAGAGAGAGAGAAAGAGAGAGAGAGAGAGAAAGCACUAGCAGAGAUAGGGGGAGGAGCAGAAGGAGAAGAAGCAGACUCCCAGCUGAGCAGGGAGUCCAAUAUGGGAUUCGAUUCCAGGACCCUGGGAUCAUGACCUGAGCCAAAGGCAGACAUUUAACCUAAUGAGUUACUCAGGUGCCCUGUAGAUUGUUUAUUUUUUAGAGUUACAGCAUUUUAGCACACACAUGAAUACAGCACAGCAGUAAAGUACAGAAGAGGUGCAGAUACUGCAAAGGUAAACAUACGCCCACUUCAAAAGCACUGGGGGAAGGUGGGAGAGGGCUUUCCUCCUAUACAUGCAAUUUCCACAUCAAUGACUCAUCUUCCAGUGGGAUGGUGACAACUGGAACACACAAAUCAAGUAGGUGAAGAAAUACAUAAUCACCCUAAACAAGGAAAACACAAACAAAAACUGAUAAGACAAUUUCCCUUGGACCACUGUCAACCUAUAAAACAAUAUAUGUGGUCAGAGAUUUGUUUUCUAUUAUUAAGUGAUUUAAAUUUCCAAAUACUGAAUUUGGUUUCGAAAGAAGGGGAGGAGGGCGGAGUUAGAAUUAUAUUUAUAUUUAGUGGCUUUUUCAAACUUAUUUCAGCCUUCUAUAGGUUCUACUGGACAAUUCACAAAAGGGUCACCCCACAUUUAAAUUCGAUGUUUCUAAACAGUUUCAAGAACAUUAGUGCUCGCAGAGCCAUAGAUAGAUAAUGUCCUGGUGUAAAAAGCGACGCUUAAGUUGAUGCUUACGCACCCAAAAAUACGACGGAAUACUGCGAUUUUUAAAGGUUUUACAUGAUACAGGCAUAAAGCCUCAUUACAACUGUCUGAAUGUUCUGCAAGUCUUACAUAAUGAAGAAACCAUCACAAUUCAUAGUUAUAGUUAUAUAAUAAUGUUAUAAAUCUGGAAGUCCAGAAGGGCACCAUUUAUGUCAAUAUUUCAGUCAAAAAUUCUGUCGACUGGGCGCCUGGGUGGCUCAGUCGGUGAAGUGUCCGCCUUCAGCUCAGGUCAUGAUCUCAGGAUCCUGGAAUCGAGCCUUAUGUCCUGUUCAGUGCUCAACACAAAGUCUGUUUCUCUGUCUCCCUCCGCCCCUCCCCCUGCUCGUCCUCUCUGUUUCAAAGAAAUAAAUAAAAUCUCAAAAACAAAUUCCGUAGUCCAUAUCUAAACCAUCACUCCAAAAGAGUGAAUUAAUGAGUUAUUCACUCAUAAUUAAGACUAAACGGUGCUUAUACCCAACAUCCGAAAAGACCCAGCUAUCUGGCUCCUGAAUUUCAUCAGCUCCAUUCUAUAUUUUGCUAAGGUAUAAUUAUUCUAGCAUCUUUGAGUGUAUCUUUAAUGCCUGUAUUACUUAAAAUCUUUAAUGUACCCUCAAUACUGUCAAUGAAAAGUACCAUAUUAACAUGAGAGAAAAAGAAGGGAUAAUAAACCGUAAUAAGGUCAUAAAAGUUUUCCAAACCGACGUUGCAAGAUCCCAUUUAACUUGCUGGUAAAUAACCUCAAAAUAAACAUGCUGUCUUCCACAACGAUUCUGGCAGAACUAAGUUUUAGACUUCUGUAUUCUCUGGCAAAGAAAGAGAAAGUCAUGACUUUCUAUGUACAAAAAAGAAACGUCUCAGGCCUUCCUAAACACUCUACUAAAUAGCUUCACCACCUUCCAUAUCUUCUGCUCCCAACCACUUACGGAAUGACCCAGGACUUUUUCAACUGGCUAAAGAUUAAAGUUCCAUAAUGCAAAGUCUUCCAAAGAUGACAGAGAAUUCAGCAUCCUCUGUUGGUCGAAAACAAUCCACCAGAACACAUUUAGGGACAAGGAGUGAUUCAGAAGAUAAUUCUUUCACAUAAAAAAGUGACAAGAGAAAAAAAUCAGAAAAGUAGCUCCCAAAUAUGGCUUUCACAUUAGGGAAAUUUUCUCAUCUGUUCACCAGAAAUACUGCUGGGGAGAAAAGUGACUCAUUUAUAGGGAGUUCUCCAAGUCCACUCAUGUUAAGCAACAAAUUGUCCAUGGCUCCCCUUAAAAUCAUCUUGACCACAAAUAAUGGGAAUCAAAACUUGUGCUGGUUGGAAUCAGGUCCUAUCAACACUCCCUCAAUACGCUAGUGCUGGCAAACACUGCCUAGCAUUAUAUUUGUGAUAAUUCAGUUGUCCUCAUGGCAGCAUGUCAAGAUGUCACAAAUCGUGAUUUAUUAUUUCUCUAGAGUAUCAAAAAGCUGCUGACCUAGGGGAGUUUGACAAACAAAGGCCUUGUUUACAAAGCAAGACUUCUAAAGGGGGGGGGGGGAAGCCAUGAAAAUACUGAAGGACACCACCACUUUUAAAAUUUAUGAAAGUUUUCUCUUUUAUGGUCUUGCUCCAAUACAUAAUAAGCCUUUAAAAUGAAAUGUCAAAAUAUUAUGGUAAUAUCAGGGGUAUCACAAUGGUCUCCUAGAGAGAACAGAAUAUGCUUUUAUAUCAGUCUGUAAAUGUCUUCUUAAUCAAAGUCAAAAAGUUCAAAAAAAUUAUAUGCCAAAGUGUUACUUUCCAGCUAGCUAUACUGUCAGAAAUAUCUUAAACAGAAUUCAAGCAUUGGCGAUAAAAUACAAGCAGGGGCAUUUUUUUUUUUUUUUUGUCAAUUCCAAGCCUCAGGUGUUGGUCAAAGCACUUUUCAAGAAAGUUGACGUGAAAUGCUCAAAAACCACUUUAAAACGGAACAAAAGAAAAGAUCUAAAGCUGCUUUGAACAUACUCUUGUGGUGAAUAUUUUCUUAAGACGCCACAGUGCAGCCAGUCCUCAGUCCCGGAGCUAGGAUGUCACUGCUGUCACUCAUAAGAGAGAGGCUGCAUGGAAGGUAGCGCUCCCUCACCUCUGACCAUCCUUCAAGGCUUCUGAUACCCCAAACUCCUAAUUUAUUUUUACAAUGCUCUUUACCUACAAGGCGCCUCUUCUUAAGGCCUCCAACCAGGUUAAUGGACCUGGGUCUCCAGGCUUGGAUUUUUUUCCUUAGUCCACUGCAAUAAAUAUCUUUGGUACCUAACAGGUAUCUGCAAAUCCCUUCUUUCAGUAGCAAACAUUUGAGUCGUCAGGGAGCUUUAAAAAAAAGAAAAAAAAAAAAAAA